AUUUUUUUUAUUUACUUAGUUUUUAAAAGUGGUGACCCGAAGUUCUGCAUGCUGAUUGGUCGAUUUUCUACUGCCAUCCCUUACACAAACACAUACACACACAGAUUUUUGUUCCGUCUUUCUGUCUCUGAGAGUAGUAUUUUUGCAGUGCCCCUUUGUAGUCUAUGUUGUUAACAUGUGAGUGUAUGCCCUCCUUUCCAUUAUAGAAAAUUGUUUUAAACAUGUCAGUAAAAAAUGUAGUAUUGGCCAAAGUACGAGUGAACAGUUCUACUACUUACAGAUUGUAAUUCAGCCAUUGUUGAGAGGUAAAUGAAGAGUACAUCCAAUUGGUGACAGAUUUUCAUGUGAAUAUUCAAAAAUAUGGAUUUUCCUACCCUAGAUGUGUUUCCAUUAAACUGACCUGUUGCGGAAAAACUCUGUGUCUUAAGACGUAGUGCACAUAAAAAUAACAUUUGCGGUUAAAUGACAAUGUACCGAAGAAAUAAUACAAGUUAAAUGGGGUUAUGUAAAAAAAUAAAUAGCGUUAUAUUGCGACUGUGCCCACUCUGGUCUUGGCACGUGCUCUCUAGCCAACAGCUUGCAGAUACAGUGUGCGUAGGAUAGCCUAUAUGAUGAGAUUAUUAUGGACAAAAGAGCGAGAUUAUUUUAAUAUGUCAAAAGGCAGCCAAGUAUCGAUCAUCAUUUCUCUGGAUUAAGAUCCUCAACAUAUCAUCACGUGACUCGAAGUUUACUUCGAUACGAUAUGAUGAUUAUUUGCGGUUUCCAAUUUGCUUUUUCCAUCAGGACUGUCGUGAAAUCUUUUUUGCAGGACGAGUCACAAUGAGCAGCUGGCUAUCUUUUGGACUAGAUCAUGUGUUCAUGUCUCACUGUCACAAUCAUCAGAACUAUUUGCUCAUUCAAAUGUGAUCAAACAUGUAUCCUGUAUGUAUUCGGUGUCAAAGAACAUGUAUCCUGUUCCUGUGUCAGAUGAUGCCAAGCUUUGUUUGAUUAGAAAUGUUCCAGGUCCCGCUAAAGUUUCACCCUGAUAGAAUGCACCCAGUCCUUGUGCAACCUAGGUAGGCUUACUUGGUAACCAGGUGUUGUAAUGCUAGAUGUCAUUGAUUAAAGGACACACACACACUUUGUGUACCUACCAAAUGGCACCCUAUUCCCUAUAUAAUGCACUUUUUUGACGAGGGCCCGCCAGGGCUCUGUCAAAAGUAGUGCACUAUAUAAGAAAUAGGGUACCUUUUGGGAUGCACCUACUCAUUCAAGAAAAACCCUUGAAUGAGUAGGUCUGUCCAGACUUUUGACUGGUACUGUACAUAGUGACAUACACCCCUUUCUCCCCUCACGUUCUUCCUCACUCAUCCACUUUAUCUCUUCAACAUGUUGCUUGACCGCUAUUUAACGCAGAAAAUAUCCAUCCACAGAUACGCAAUGUCUGAGUGCGUGAGGGCUUCCGUGAAUGUAAGAGUGUGAGAGUCCUUCUGCGAGAUUAUGGACUUAAUUAGGUUUAAGGUGGUGUGUGUGUGCGUGUGUAAACACAGAUUGAACAGAACAAAAAAAACAGCAGGACUUAACUCUCAGACACACAGAGACACACCAACUGUACCCUUCAGAGAGCACAUAUUAACAUGUAUGUGCAUAUCAACAUGUGAUGUAUAUGCCCUAUUGUAUUGAAAACACACACACAAGCACAUACAUGCCUACAUGUCCACACUCCACACUAUAUUGUCUAAGAAGAAGGCAU
This 1732-nucleotide long non-coding RNA is filed under the name Salmo salar (Atlantic salmon). RNAcentral's name for it is "lncRNA (ENSSSAG00000106825.1)". Lineage: Eukaryota; Metazoa; Chordata; Actinopteri; Salmoniformes; Salmonidae. The record is from RNAcentral.